UACGGAGGGGGGCUAGCGUUGUUCGGAAUUACUGGGCGUAAAGCGCGCGUAGGCGGACCUGCAAGUCGGGGGGUGAAAGCCCGAGGCUCAACCUCGGAACUGCCUUCGAUACUGCGGGUCUCGAGUCCGGGAGAGGUGAGUGGAAUUCCUAGUGUAGAGGUGAAAUUCGUAGAUAUUAGGAAGAACACCAGUGGCGAAGGCGGCCCACUGGAUCGGUACUGACGCUGAGGUGCGAAAGCGUGGGGAGCAAACAGG
Molecule: ribosomal RNA, 255 nt
Filed under: uncultured bacterium
Lineage: Bacteria
Description: partial 16S ribosomal RNA
Rfam family: Bacterial small subunit ribosomal RNA
Source: RNAcentral